AGCCAACAUUAAGAACAUUCUAUAUGGAAUGCUAUAUUCCUUGGAGAAAAGAUUGAAGGUGACCGUAGUGACAUUCAGCAAUGAGAUGUGUAAACUGAGGUGUGAAGAGAUUAAAUAAUUUGUCCCAGGCCACACUGACAGUAAGUGAUCAAGCCAGCGAGUUGAACGAGGCCCAGACCAGAGCAAGCAAAUAGCCACUGUUCUACACUGCCUUAUCAUAUCCCCGUAGCGAAGUGCCUCAGACUGAGUGAUUUCAGUAAUAGCAGAUUAUUUGCUCAUGAUUAUGGAGACUGGAAGUCUGACAUCAAGCUGUUACCAGGAUUGGAUUCUCCUUAGGUCUUUAUCCUGGGUUGGAAGAUGGACAUUGUCACCCAUAUCUUUAUAUGGCUUCCUUGUAAGUAUGUCUGUGUCUUAAUUUCCUGGUUUUAAAGGACACCAGUCACAAUGGAUUAGGGACCAUGGUAAUGACCUCGUUUUAAUAGAAUGCCCUCUGUAAGACCCUCUCUUCAAAUACAGUCACUUCUUGAGGUCCUGGGGUUAGGGCUUCAACCUAUGAUUUUAGGGGGACACAAUUAAGCCUAUAUUUUUACACAAUUAAGCCUAUAAUUUUUAAUGGUUAUAAUAUGCUAGUUAUUUUACAAAAUGUCAAAAUUUUGAGCUCUAGAUUUUUUUUUGUUUGUUUGUUUGUUUUUG
Molecule: long non-coding RNA, 693 nt
Organism: Nycticebus coucang (slow loris)
Lineage: Eukaryota; Metazoa; Chordata; Mammalia; Primates; Lorisidae
Exons: 3
Source: RefSeq, a predicted model, not a curated record